Molecule: non-coding RNA, 221 nt
Organism: Ceratotherium simum simum (southern white rhinoceros)
Lineage: Eukaryota; Metazoa; Chordata; Mammalia; Perissodactyla; Rhinocerotidae
Source: RefSeq, a predicted model, not a curated record
GCAAGAAAAUAAGUUAGGUCUCCUCCUUUUGUACUGUGAAGUUCAAAGGCCCAGUAUCAAAUCCUUAGACCUCCAAACACAGUGGCAAAUAAAGACUCAAUCUAACACUUUUAAACAAAACCACCCUCUGUGCCCCUGUCCCCCAAAUUUAGACAGACUCGGGUGAGAGAACUGUCCAAGAAAAAAGAAAGAAAUACCAGGGCUUUACAGGAGAAUCAUUU